This 71-nucleotide transfer RNA is filed under the name Ictidomys tridecemlineatus (thirteen-lined ground squirrel). Its description in RNAcentral is "Spermophilus tridecemlineatus (thirteen-lined ground squirrel) tRNA". It matches the Rfam family "tRNA". From Rfam's summary of the family: Transfer RNA (tRNA) molecules are approximately 80 nucleotides in length. Their secondary structure includes four short double-helical elements and three loops (D, anti-codon, and T loops). Lineage: Eukaryota; Metazoa; Chordata; Mammalia; Rodentia; Sciuridae. The record is from Rfam by way of RNAcentral.
GGGGUUAUAGCUCAGUGGUAGAGCACUUGCCUAGCAUGUGUGAGGCCCUGGGUUUGAUUCCCAGAACCACA